This 69-nucleotide transfer RNA is filed under the name Hemiodoecus leai. RNAcentral's name for it is "tRNA-Ser". It matches the Rfam family "tRNA". From Rfam's summary of the family: Transfer RNA (tRNA) molecules are approximately 80 nucleotides in length. Their secondary structure includes four short double-helical elements and three loops (D, anti-codon, and T loops). The record is from RNAcentral. Lineage: Eukaryota; Metazoa; Arthropoda; Insecta; Hemiptera; Peloridiidae.
AGCUAAAAAACUCAUAACAAGUAUAUAUUUUGAAAGUAUAAAGUAAAAGUUAAACUCUUUUAUUAGCUU